This is a long non-coding RNA of Prosopis cineraria, 255 nucleotides long. RefSeq lists it as uncharacterized. Lineage: Eukaryota; Viridiplantae; Streptophyta; Magnoliopsida; Fabales; Fabaceae. The record is from RefSeq and is a predicted model, not a curated record. The transcript is spliced from 3 exons.
AUCCACUCAAGGAGUUGUGUCUAUAUCAUCUAGAAGGCGUGACAAAUGGCAGCGGAUGCUAAGAAAAUAUAUCCAGAAGAGUAUACAACCUGGAGAGAAGAUCCAGCAAAUUUUUUCAUAAAUGGCACAUAUCCUCUAAGAGAUCUCUGGAUAUCUGCAAGAAAUGCUUGGAAGGAAAUCUUAUUGACGGCUGGAGAAAGCUUUCUUGUUGUGACUCAAAUCUAUAUUGAGAGCAUUGACUUGCACUGCCUUAGG